RNAcentral lists this ribosomal RNA (449 nucleotides) under uncultured bacterium. Its description in RNAcentral is "partial 16S ribosomal RNA". It matches the Rfam family "Bacterial small subunit ribosomal RNA", at positions 29 to 523 of the family's 1533-position model. The record is from RNAcentral.
AACGAACGCUGGCGGCAUGCCUAACACAUGCAAGUCGAACGAAGCCUUCGGGCUUAGUGGCGCACGGGUGCGUAACGCGUGGGAAUCUGCCCUUUGGUUCGGAAUAACAGUUGGAAACGACUGCUAAUACCGGAUGAUGACGAAAGUCCAAAGAUUUAUCGCCAGAGGAUGAGCCCGCGUAGGAUUAGCUAGUUGGUGUGGUAAAGGCGCACCAAGGCGACGAUCCUUAGCUGGUCUGAGAGGAUGAUCAGCCACACUGGGACUGAGACACGGCCCAGACUCCUACGGGAGGCAGCAGUGGGGAAUAUUGGACAAUGGGCGAAAGCCUGAUCCAGCAAUGCCGCGUGAGUGAUGAAGGCCCUAGGGUUGUAAAGCUCUUUUACCCGGGAUGAUAAUGACAGUACCGGGAGAAUAAGCCCCGGCUAACUCCGUGCCAGCCGCCGCUGUAA